AACGCGAAGAACCUUACCUGGGCUCGAACGGCUUCGGACAAUCUUUGGAAACAGAGACUUCCCGCAAGGGACUGGAGUCGAGGUGCUGCAUGGCUGUCGUCAGCUCGUGUCGUGAGAUGUUGGGUUAAGUCCCGCAACGAGCGCAACCCUUGUCCUGUGUUGGCAUGCCGCAAGGCGCAACUCGCAGGAGACCGCCAGCGAUAAGUUGGAGGAAGGUGGGGAUGACGUCAAGUCAUCAUGGCCUUUAUGUCCAGGGCCACACACGUGCUACAAUGGGCGGUACAAAGCGCUGCCAACCCGCGAGGGGGAGCUAAUCGCCAAAAACCGUCCUCAGUUCGGAUUGCAGGCUGCAACUCGCCUGCAUGAAGCUGGAAUCGCUAGUAAUGCUAUAUCAGAACGAUAGCGUGAAUACGUUCCCGGGCCUUGUA
Molecule: ribosomal RNA, 428 nt
Filed under: uncultured Acidobacterium sp.
Lineage: Bacteria; Pseudomonadati; Acidobacteriota; Terriglobia; Terriglobales; Acidobacteriaceae
Description: bacterial SSU rRNA
Rfam family: Bacterial small subunit ribosomal RNA
Source: RNAcentral